UAGCCGUAAACGAUACUCGCUAGGUGUCGGCCACGGUGCGACCGUUGUCGGUGCCGUAGGGAAGUCGUGAAGCGAGCCACCUGGGAAGUACGGCCGCAAGGCUGAAACUUAAAGGAAUUGGCGGGGGAGCACCACAACGGGUGGAGCUUGCGGUUUAAUCGGAUUCAACGCCGGAAAUCUUACCGGGACCGACAGCAACAUGAAGGUCAAGCUGAAGACUUUGCCGGAUUAGCUGAGAGGAGGUGCAUGGCGUAGACGUCU
RNAcentral lists this ribosomal RNA (261 nucleotides) under uncultured archaeon. Its description in RNAcentral is "partial 16S ribosomal RNA". It matches the Rfam family "Archaeal small subunit ribosomal RNA", at positions 748 to 1009 of the family's 1478-position model. The record is from RNAcentral.